UGAGGCAGAUCACAUAGAGGUGAUGAGUGUGGUCUCUGACACCUAAAAUACUUGGACAGAAACCACAGCUGCCACUUCCUAGCUGUGGACCUUGAACAAGUUUCUUAAUCAUUCUGUUCAUUUUAUCUGAAAAAAAAUGGAUAAGAUAAUAAUACCUAGCUCAUGGGCUUAUAGUGAUGAUUAAGUUUUUGAUAAUCUGUGAAGUUACUAAGAAUAAUAAGCGGUCAAUAAUGUUAACUAUUACAACUUUUCUUUCACUUUUAUUUAUUGCACCAGAAUAAUGAAUGAAUAAAUUUUAAGCCCUUCAAAAUAUAUUUGCCUUAAUCUUACCUUUCCAUGCUUAUUCUUAAUAUUUUUACAUAAUUGUAGUGAAACAUAGCCUCAGUUUAGUAUAGUACCUGCUUUUUAUUUGUAACCUUAUCAGAAACAUUUUCUAGCUUCUGCAUAGCUUUUAUAAUUAUUCAUUCUUAGUGUAACUAGAACUCUAGCACAAAAAACUUAUCCUAUUAAAAAUAUUAUGCAGAUGCCUUUUCCAACCAAUAUCAAGUAAUUGCUAAAUGAAGAAAUACAUAAUUAUUUAUCAGGCAGAACACAUUGCUUAGACCCACUGAGGAAAAGCCUGGAAAUACUCAAAACAAAUCCUGCCCUUAGGGAUUUCACAGUCAAUUUGAAGAAACUCCAUUUGUAAAUAAAAGAAAUGACUAACCCAUGAUAAUGGUACUAAAGAAAUGUUAUUGGAAUCUGGUGGAGGAAGAGAUUGCUGUUAGCAUUGGAAAAGGCUAAAAUGAGUUUGUUCUUGAAAGAUGUGAGUUGUAGAGGCCCACACAAUACCACUGCCAUAUUCUAUGGAGCAAAGGAAAUGUGUACAUCUCAACUGAGAUGCUCUAAGUAGAUAUAUUUUUUUAAAAAAACACCCGGGAGUUCUUUGAUGGCCUAGCGGGUUGAGGCUCCUGCAUUCUCACCGCUGUGGCUCUGGUUGCUGCUGUGCGGUGUAGGUUCAAUCCCUGGCCCAGGAAUUCCCACAUACUGCCUGUGUGGCAAAAAAAAAACCAAGAGAGAACCUGAAAAAAACGUUGCAACUCAUUAAAAAAACAAACAAACAAACAAAACAAAACAAACAAACAAAAAAAACACCCAAGUUUCAACAACUUUUAGUAUGAAAAAAAGAGGUUUAUAAACCUCUAUAGAGAUCGACGCCAGUGUGGUGUUGCACAGCUCUUAGGUCAUUUUCAGUAGAUAACAGUAGUCAUAGCAAAGACUGCAAAGGUUAGACAUUCCCACACUACCUUUUUACCCAUUUAUAAUGCAGGUAAGUCUCAGACCAAAUUCUGCCUACAGACAUUCAUUCACAAUUUUUUUAAGCACUAUGGAAUCCAUCUCUGUCCAUCAUUCCCAUAUUAGCACCUUUAAAGCAGACAGGAGAACAUUCCAGAUGCAAGAUUCAAUCACCAUUAGCAAAACAGAAAUCUUCCUAAUGAAUGGGUGGCCACAGCAACUUUCAAGGAUCUGUCCAUGAGAAUUAUUGCUAAGAAGGCUGCCUUCACUAGAUUCUUCUCUCCUGUUUAUGUAAGAGUAGGAAAUAUUUCUCCAAUGUUUUAGCCAAUCCACAUAUUUUGAAUACUUUUCACCAAGGAGAUAAUAUUUAUAAUAUACAAGUCACACACUUCACCUGUGAAAACCUAUUCCUAAUGCUCUCUAAGCUAACUCAUAAACCCUCAGAUGGUGGUCAAGAUACAGACAACAGAAGCACUUAUCGAAGCCCCUUGUGAAGUGUAGCCUUUUUCACAUAACUCAGGCUAAGUCUGAGAAGAUGUCUCAACAUUGCGGAGGCAAGGGAUUCCCUUCUCUCCCUCGUUUGGAAAACAAGGAAAAUAAUCUGCACUACUUUUAGUGCAAAUUAUAUUAUUAAUAUUACAUUUAGAGCCAUAUCAUACUAUGCUUCUCAUAGAAACGUACAGUAAACGUGUCUUCAUGCAUUUGAUAUUCAACAAAUAUAAAGGUAAUAACUGAAUGAAGUUAAAGGUAAAAGUUCUUUAAUUGGUGUGGCAUUCUGUCCUAUGAAGAUUUUCCACAUUGAGAUAGAAUUAUCUAGGAAGAGGAAACAAAUUCAUUUUAGAAUUUCUAGGCUUAUAAUCUCUUGAUCUUUAUUUCCUUCCUGCCCUUUCCAGUUCAGAAGAUCACUUUCCUAACCAGAGAAGCUAAGGUCAAAAUAGCAUUUGAGUACUUCUCUUUCAAAAAAAGCAUCAAUAACAAUUUCAAGCAUUUCUUCCCUAUAUUAAUACUUAAAUAGUUAUGAGCUGGCUUCCCACCAUUACAAAUUUUGCUAGUUUAAACUUUACUAUGUCUCAGCAUUGUAUUGGCUAUUCUAAGCCUUCUGUCCUUCUCUGCAAUCUUUAGGAUCAGUUUGUCAAUACCUACAAAGUAGCUUGCUUGGCCUUGGUUGCAUUUAAUGUAUAGAUCAAGCUGGGAACACUGACAUCUUAACAAUACUGAAUCUUCUAGUCUAUGAGCAUGGAUGAUCUCUCCGUUUAUUUAGGGCUCCUUUGAUUUCUUUUAUCAGAGUUAUGCAUGUUUGCACAUGUAAUCUAGUACGUAUUCAUUAAGAUUUGUUUUUAAAUAUUUCAUUUUUUGGUGUGACCGUAAAUAGUAUUUAUUUUUUUAUUGAAGUGUAGUUGAUUUACAAUGUUUCCAGCAUAUAGCGAAGUGAUUGUUAUAUGUAUAGCAUAUAUAUGUAUUAUUUUUCAGAUUCUUUCCAUUAUAGAUUAUUAUAAGACAUUGAAUAUAGUUCCCUGUACUGUGCAGUAGUAGGACCUUGUUAUUUAUCUGUUUUACAUAUAGUUGUUUGUAUCUGCUAAUCCCAAAUCCUAAUUUAUCUCUCCCCACCCUUUCCUCUUUGGUAGUCAUAAGUUUGUUUUCUAUGUCUGUGAGUCUGUUUAUGUUCUGUAAAUAAGUUCUUUUCUAUCAUUUUUUUUAGAUUCCACAUAUAAGUGAUACCACAUGGUCUUUGUCUGACUUACGUCACUUAGUAUGAUAAUGUCUAGGUUCAUCCAUGUUGCUGCAAAUGGCAUUAUUUCAUUUUUUAUGGCUGAGUAAUAUUCCACUGUGUAUAUAAGCACUGUCUCUCCUUUAUCCAUUCAUCUGUUGAUGGACACUUAGGUUGCUUCCAUGUCUUGGCUAUUUAAAUGGAAUGGAUUAGCAAGGAGAUCCUGCUGUGUAGCACUGGGAACUAUGCCUUGUCACUUAUGAUGGAGCAUGAUAAUGUGAGAAAAAAGAAUGUAUACAUGUAUGUGUGACGGGGGUCUCCAUGCUGUACAGUAGAAAAUUGACAGGACACUGUAAACCAGCUAUGAUGAAAAAAAUAAAAAUCAUUAUAU
This 3374-nucleotide long non-coding RNA is filed under the name Sus scrofa (pig). RNAcentral's name for it is "lncRNA (ENSSSCG00000057844.1, ENSSSCG00110002161.1)". The record is from RNAcentral. Lineage: Eukaryota; Metazoa; Chordata; Mammalia; Artiodactyla; Suidae.